This 1483-nucleotide ribosomal RNA is filed under the name metagenome. RNAcentral's name for it is "bacterial SSU rRNA". It matches the Rfam family "Bacterial small subunit ribosomal RNA". The record is from RNAcentral.
AGAGUUUGAUCCUGGCUCAGGAUGAACGCUGGCGGCGUGCUUAACACAUGCAAGUCGAACGAAGCACUUUAUUUGAUUUCCUUCGGGACUGAUUAUUUUGUGACUGAGUGGCGGACGGGUGAGUAACGCGUGGGUAACCUGCCUUGUACAGGGGGAUAACAGUUGGAAACGGCUGCUAAUACCGCAUAAGCGCACAGCAUCACAUGAUGCAGUGUGAAAAACUCCGGUGGUAUAAGAUGGACCCGCGUUGGAUUAGCUAGUUGGUGAGGUAACGGCCCACCAAGGCGACGAUCCAUAGCCGACCUGAGAGGGUGACCGGCCACAUUGGGACUGAGACACGGCCCAAACUCCUACGGGAGGCAGCAGUGGGGAAUAUUGCACAACGGGCGAAAGCCUGAUGCAGCGACGCCGCGUGAGCGAAGAAGUAUUUCGGUAUGUAAAGCUCUAUCAGCAGGGAAGAUAAUGACGGUACCCAACAAGGAAGUGACGGCUAACUACGUGCCAGCAGCCGCGGUAAAACGUAGGUCACAAGCGUUGUCCGGAAUUACUGGGUGUAAAGGGAGCGCAGGCGGGAAGACAAGUUGGAAGUGAAAUCUAUGGGCUCAACCCAUAAACUGCUUUCAAAACUGUUUUUCUUGAGUAGUGCAGAGGUAGGCGGAAUUCCCGGUGUAGCGGUGGAAUGCGUAGAUAUCGGGAGGAACACCAGUGGCGAAGGCGGCCUACUGGGCACCAACUGACGCUGAGGCUCGAAAGUGUGGGUAGCAAACAGGAUUAGAUACCCUGGUAGUCCACACCGUAAACGAUGAUUACUAGGUGUUGGAGGAUUGACCCCUUCAGUGCCGCAGUUAACACAAUAAGUAAUCCACCUGGGGAGUACGACCGCAAGGUUGAAACUCAAAGGAAAUGACGGGGGCCCGCACAAGCAGUGGAGUAUGUGGUUUAAUUCGACGCAACGCGAAGAACCUUACCAAGUCUUGACAUCCCUUGACAGACAUAGAAAUAUGUAAUCUCUUCGGAGCAAGGAGACAGGUGGUGCAUGGUUGUCGUCAGCUCGUGUCGUGAGAUGUUGGGUUAAGUCCCGCAACGAGCGCAACCCUUAUGGUCAGUUACUACGCAAGAGGACUCUGGCCAGACUGCCGUUGACAAAACGGAGGAAGGUGGGGAUGACGUCAAAUCAUCAUGCCCUUUAUGACUUGGGCUACACACGUACUACAAUGGCGUUAAACAAAGAGAAGCAAGACCGCGAGGUGGAGCAAAACUCAGAAACAACGUCCCAGUUCGGACUGCAGGCUGCAACUCGCCUGCACGAAGUCGGAAUUGCUAGUAAUCGUGGAUCAGCAUGCCACGGUGAAUACGUUCCCGGGCCUUGUACACACCGCCCGUCACACCAUGAGAGCCGGGGGGACCCGAAGUCGAUAGUCUAACCGCAAGGAGGACGCCGCCGGAGGUAAAACUGGUGAUUGGGGUGAAGUCGUAACAAGGU